CACACACACACACACACACACACACACAGGUACAGACAUGUAACACAGUCAGCUAUUCUGUAUAAAAGACAAUCCCUGGCUGUAGAGAGAAGCAGACACACAAAGAGGAGGGAGAGACAGACUUCAUCACUGACUCCAGAUCUGAGGACAAACUCAUCUGAAGAACCACUCACACCAAUGUAAAGAGGUGACUGUGAUCUCCUCAGACCAAUUGGCAGAACAGCCCAGUUCUGACAUCACAAACAGGAUGAUUGAUUCUGCACAUCCUAUGGGAAGGCGUGAGGGAAUUUCUCAUCUGAUGAAAAGACGACUAGGACCCGCCCAGACCAUAGGAGACAUAUCAUAAGUGAACAAUAGAGGAACACAUCUACUGACUUUUCAAACAGGUUGUCCCUGCAAGGAACGGAGGAAGACAUUGUAGAGAAUUGUGUCCCCCCCUUAACAGUGUUCUUAGGACUCUUUUCCCACGGGUGAAGGCGUCUUUGCCGAACCUAGCAGGUGGAGCCGAACACUGUUUGAACCCAGGGGAUUCCGUGGUGGUCAAAGACUUUCAGGAGAAAGAGUUGGAACGACCCCCGUUCGAUAUCAAGUUCUUCAAGACCCCCCCCCCCCCACUGUGGUGAAGGUUGCUGAGAGAGAUGGCUGGAUACACGCGUCGCACUGCAGACGAGUUCCUGAUCCAGGAGAAGAUGAGGCCUCGCCAGUCCCGGCGGUGCCGUGUGGCCCUCCUCUGCUUUAGCACAGGAAUGCUAAUAGGAACAGUAGGCUGUCUUCUUGUAGGAAA
Molecule: non-coding RNA, 784 nt
Organism: Oncorhynchus mykiss (rainbow trout)
Lineage: Eukaryota; Metazoa; Chordata; Actinopteri; Salmoniformes; Salmonidae
Source: RefSeq, a predicted model, not a curated record